Molecule: long non-coding RNA, 397 nt
Filed under: Dasypus novemcinctus (nine-banded armadillo)
Lineage: Eukaryota; Metazoa; Chordata; Mammalia; Cingulata; Dasypodidae
Description: lncRNA (ENSDNOG00000052713.1)
Source: RNAcentral
GGAGAAACGAGGGCAGCUCACGAGCUCUGACUUUGCUCAGGAGCGAAAUGGCCUUGUUUUUCACCUUCCCACCUGGCCCACUUAGGAGGAAAAGCUGCGGAAAAUUCGCUGCUCAGUUUACAGUCCCAAGAACAUGAAAACGCUCCUCUGCCAGCAUCAAAAAAAAGAAGAUGGAUGUUGUUUCUGGGAGAAGGAAGGAAUGUCGUACGGUGGCUCGGGCAGGAGACGCCUUAUUCUCCAGGAUGAUGAGGAGGGGGUCACCAGCAAGCUGCUCUAGGAGGCCAAAGGGCAGGAUGCCCAGCGGGAAGAACGCCCUUCACUGCUCUCUUGGGCACCAGAUCUUUUCGGCUUCCUCAAGGACUUUCCACCCAAAUAUCUUCUAGUGCCUCAAAUGACG